Molecule: non-coding RNA, 182 nt
Filed under: Pelosinus sp. UFO1
Lineage: Bacteria; Bacillati; Bacillota; Negativicutes; Selenomonadales; Sporomusaceae
Also listed under: 1 other name
Source: RNAcentral
CUAAAUAUUGACGGUAUAGGUGCCCUUGUGGGCUUAAUAGGGAAGUCGGUUUAAAUCCGGCGCGGUCCCGCCACUGUAAUGAGGAGCGAAUCCACAGUUAUGCCACUGAAAAUGAUUUUUCGGGAAGGUGUGGAUAAGUAAUGAUUCAAAGCCAGGAGAACUGCCUAUAUAGCAAUCGCCGU